Molecule: transfer RNA, 72 nt
Filed under: Blautia argi
Lineage: Bacteria; Bacillati; Bacillota; Clostridia; Lachnospirales; Lachnospiraceae
Rfam family: tRNA
About the family: Transfer RNA (tRNA) molecules are approximately 80 nucleotides in length.
Source: Rfam by way of RNAcentral
UGGGAUAUAGCUCAGUUGGGAGAGCACCUGCCUUGCAAGCAGGGGUCGAGAGUUCGAAUCUCUUUAUCUCCA